CGGGCGGUGAGGCUGAGCUGUGGGGCUGGGGGUCCAGCGGAGGGAGUGGUGCCCACAGAGGCCCCUCCGAGCCCUUCCCCCCGCCGUGGUGGCUCUCCAGGGCCGCACAGCUGGGCUUCCCAUCCCCUCCCAGGGCUCCCCUGCGCCCACGGACACCUGCAGGCCCCGCCUCUCCUCCACAGGCGAGAACCCGACGGACUGACAAGGACUGGCAUUCUUUUAAAUGAAGAGCAAAAGACAGGAGAGGGGAGCCUUGGGCUUGAGAAUUCAAGGCUCUUUCAAUAGGAUUCUGGUUUGCUCUAUGGUUACACCCCCUCUCCCCUCCAUCUCCUCAUCCUACUCUGCUCUCUCGUAACACCCACACAUACUGCAUGACAAUCUUCCACUCCCUGCUGUGACUUUCCAUGGAAGAUGCUGUCAUGUGAAAUCCCGGGAGGGAGUUACCACAUGGAGCACUGUGAAAGCAUCGCACAUCUCUUGCAGAACAGGCUUGCAGACGGAGGAAUGCUCUGCCCCCCCCCCUCCAAAAUCCUGAACACUUUUGAGUAGGGGUGGGGGGUGUGGGGAAUCAUCUUGUAAGCUUGGGAGCCACCUACGCACAUGGCAAGUCUUGUCAGCAGCUGAUAAAAGAGG
This 633-nucleotide long non-coding RNA is filed under the name Gallus gallus (chicken). The record is from RNAcentral. Lineage: Eukaryota; Metazoa; Chordata; Aves; Galliformes; Phasianidae.